RNAcentral lists this ribosomal RNA (253 nucleotides) under uncultured bacterium. RNAcentral describes it as "partial 16S ribosomal RNA". It matches the Rfam family "Bacterial small subunit ribosomal RNA", at positions 524 to 776 of the family's 1533-position model. The record is from RNAcentral.
UACGUAGGGUGCAAGCGUUAAUCGGAAUUACUGGGCGUAAAGCGUGCGCAGGCGGUUAUGCAAGACAGAGGUGAAAUCCCCGGGCUCAACCUGGGAACUGCCUUUGUGACUGCAUAGCUAGAGUACGGUAGAGAGGGAUGGAAUUCCGCGUGUAGCAGUGAAAUGCGUAGAGAUGCGGAGGAACACCGAUGGCGAAGGCAGCCCCCUGGGCCAAUACUGACGCUCAGGCACGAAAGCGUAGGGAGCAAACAGG